UACAGAGGUCCCAAGCGUUGUUCGGAUUCACUGGGCGUAAAGGGUGCGUAGGUGGUCAGGUAAGUCUGAUGUGAAAUCUCUGGGCUCAACCCAGAAACUGCAUUGGAUACUAUCUGGCUAGAGGAGUGGAGGGGGGACUGGAAUACUUGGUGUAGCAGUGAAAUGCGUAGAGAUCAUGAGGAAGACCAGUGGCGAAGGCGGGUCUCUGGACAGUUCCUGACACUGAGGCACGAAGGCCAGGGGAGCAAACGGG
Molecule: ribosomal RNA, 253 nt
Filed under: uncultured bacterium
Lineage: Bacteria
Description: partial 16S ribosomal RNA
Rfam family: Bacterial small subunit ribosomal RNA
Source: RNAcentral